Molecule: ribosomal RNA, 443 nt
Filed under: Veillonella parvula
Lineage: Bacteria; Bacillati; Bacillota; Negativicutes; Veillonellales; Veillonellaceae
Description: bacterial SSU rRNA
Rfam family: Bacterial small subunit ribosomal RNA
Source: RNAcentral
GACGAACGCUGGCGGCGUGCUUAACACAUGCAAGUCGAACGAAGAGCGACGGAAGCUUGCUUCUAUCAAUCUUAGUGGCGAACGGGUGAGUAACGCGUAAUCAACCUGCCCUUCAGAGGGGGACAACAGUUGGAAACGACUGCUAAUACCGCAUACGAUCUAAUCUCGGCAUCGAGGAUAGAUGAAAGGUGGCCUCUACAUGUAAGCUAUCACUGAAGGAGGGGAUUGCGUCUGAUUAGCUAGUUGGAGGGGUAACGGCCCACCAAGGCGAUGAUCAGUAGCCGGUCUGAGAGGAUGAACGGCCACAUUGGGACUGAGACACGGCCCAGACUCCUACGGGAGGCAGCAGUGGGGAAUCUUCCGCAAUGGACGAAAGUCUGACGGAGCAACGCCGCGUGAGUGAUGACGGCCUUCGGGUUGUAAAGCUCUGUUAAUCGGGACGA